This is a long non-coding RNA of Cygnus olor (mute swan), 1473 nucleotides long. RefSeq lists it as uncharacterized. The record is from RefSeq and is a predicted model, not a curated record. The transcript has 3 exons. Lineage: Eukaryota; Metazoa; Chordata; Aves; Anseriformes; Anatidae.
GAUGAACCUAAGAAUACAAAAAUGUCAACUAGAAUACCAAUGCAGAAAAAUAGAAAUUCAGAGGAUAUGGUGUGUUUUAGAAGAAAAGUUAGACUGGAAAUUGACUUCUCAGAAGUGAGGUGUAUUUCUGUUAGACCAAUGGACCCUGAGCUUUUCUGCAGAAAACAGGUUCUGAGAACUGGUGGCCAAAUGAUGUUCAACAUCUACCAAUUGAAAGACAAUGGAAAUCAGAGCUUUUCUCUGCUAGAAGGAUAUAGAACUUUCUUUCCUUGGGUUUAAGCUGAAUGACUGCUUCAUAUUUAUGUAGUUAUACUGAUUUUGUUACUAGUUAUUUACUGUUCCGCUUUGGAAAAUGAAGAUGUCUUACCAAUACCUAUGUUUUUAUGGGGACCAUGUUAUGACCAUUACUGAGGGUGCUAAUUCAAGAAAUAAGAACGCUGAAAGAAAUUCUAUGCUAUAUUAAAAUAUUUCUUGAUGUUAAAACUUUCAGGAGUAUCCAACCCUUUUAUAUUGUUUGAAAAAGUCUAAGUUGCUCCACUAACUUAUAAGGAGAUAUUUAGAGGAUAUACAUGUCUGAAGGAGAGACUUUAGCCAAAACACAAUCAAAACUAGUCUUUCUGACACUAAAUGAACUGAUACUCUUAUAAAUGUGCACUUGAGUAGUAAAGCAUGUUUUAGGUAGAAACGAGGUACUUUAAGUUCAUGGUCUAUCCAGGUUCUUUUUAUUUUUUUUAUUUUUUUUUUAAUUUGAGAUUCAAAGAUAAUUUUCUCUAUUGCACAGGGAUUAUAGGAAAAAGGUAGUUUGCUGUAUUUUUCUGUUGCUACUACAAAACUGUUUUCUCAGCAGUCACAGAAACCCCAAAGAUCUGCAGAAGUGUACGUGAUGUUCAGUUUUGUCAACUUAGACUUUAGUUUUCUGUUCGUAAAACAAUGAGAGGAGAGCUGAGGGGACUCAGUGGGAACAAGUGGGUAUCUAACAGUGUUGUGAACAGUAGAUGACAUGAAUCAAGUGAAUGAGAAAAGGGCUGGACUGCUUUUUGUGGUUCCUAGGCAAUAGAAUGAGUAACAAUGUUGAAGAGGCUGCAGUGGAGAAAAGAGUUCUCAUUUUGUUUCCGGUGUGUAAAUUGUCUCUUCUCUUCUACAUCCCUCGAGUAUGGGGCUUCCUUCACUCCUGUAGUUGCCUUACACUUGGUUCCUACACUCUUCUCUAACUCUUCAAAAAUUGGGCACUCAGACUUGUGUGCCCCUAGUAACACUUAAGAACUGUUUUUAAAAGGAAGAGGUAAAAGCUAAUUUAGAAAGCUGACACUCGAGAAAACUUUCUUAGCUGUAAGAUAUGCAAUUUUAUGCACAGACUGACUACAAAGCAGUAGCAUUUUUAUCUGAGCAAAAUCUCAACUGAAAACACUAUUCAAGUGACAUUUAUUCUGUAGAAUGCCUACUGAUAUACUUGAGGCUUCCUAAAAAUAAAAA